UGCCAGCAGCCGCGGUAAUACGAAGGGACCUAGCGUAGUUCGGAAUUACUGGGCGUAAAGCGCACGUAGGCGGAUUGGAAAGUUGGGGGUGAAAUCCCGGGGCUCAACCCCGGAACUGCCUCCAAAACUAUCAGUCUAGAGUUCGAGAGAGGUGAGUGGAAUUCCAAGUGUAGAGGUGAAAUUCGUAGAUAUUUGGAGGAACACCAGUGGCGAAGGCGGCUCACUGGCUCGAUACUGACGCUGAGGUGCGAAAGUGUGGGGAGCAAACAGGAUUAGAUA
Molecule: ribosomal RNA, 279 nt
Filed under: uncultured bacterium
Lineage: Bacteria
Description: partial 16S ribosomal RNA
Rfam family: Bacterial small subunit ribosomal RNA
Source: RNAcentral